UCAUUAAGCGGAGGAAAAGAAACUAACAAGGAUUCCCCUAGUAACGGCGAGUGAAGCGGGAACAGCCCAGCACCGAAUCGCCUGGCGUACAGCUAGCGUGAACUGUGGUGUUUAGGACAGCCCCUGCCGGCUCGCGCGGACGCCCAAGUCCUCCUGAUCGGGGCCUUUCCCAUAGUGGGUGUUAGGCCUGUACUGGCGACCGUCGAGCCUGCUGGAGCGUCCUGGGAGUCGGGUUGCUUGUGAGUGCAGCCCAAAGUGGGUGGUAAACUCCAUCUAAGGCUAAAUACAACAC
This 292-nucleotide ribosomal RNA is filed under the name Phoronis sp. AMEBU14759. RNAcentral describes it as "partial 28S ribosomal RNA". It matches the Rfam family "Eukaryotic large subunit ribosomal RNA", at positions 43 to 328 of the family's 3401-position model. Lineage: Eukaryota; Metazoa; Phoronida; Phoronidae. The record is from RNAcentral.